This 180-nucleotide ribosomal RNA is filed under the name uncultured bacterium. RNAcentral describes it as "partial 16S ribosomal RNA". It matches the Rfam family "Bacterial small subunit ribosomal RNA", at positions 338 to 515 of the family's 1533-position model. The record is from RNAcentral.
CCUACGGGAGGCAGCAGUGAGGAAUAUUGGUCAAUGGACGAGAGUCUGAACCAGCCAAGUAGCGUGCAGGAUGACGGCCCUAUGGGUUGUAAACUGCUUUUAUAAGGGAAUAAAGUGAGUCUCGUGAGACUUUUUGCAUGUACCUUAUGAAUAAGGACCGGCUAAUUCCGUGCAUGCAGC